Molecule: ribosomal RNA, 754 nt
Filed under: Salmonella enterica
Lineage: Bacteria; Pseudomonadati; Pseudomonadota; Gammaproteobacteria; Enterobacterales; Enterobacteriaceae
Also listed under: 1 other name
Description: partial 23S ribosomal RNA
Rfam family: Bacterial large subunit ribosomal RNA
Source: RNAcentral
GGAGCCAUCCUUGAAAUACCACCCUUUAAUGGCUGGUGUUCUAACGUGGGCCCGUGAACCGGGUUGCGGACAGUGUCUGGUGGGUAGUUUGACUGGGGCGGUCUCCUCCUAAAGAGUAACGGAGGAGCACGAAGGUUGGCUAAUCCUGGUCGGACAUCAGGAGGUUAGUGCAAUGGCAUAAGCCAGCUUGACUGCGAGCGUGACGGCGCGAGCAGGUGCGAAAGCAGGUCAUAGUGAUCCGGUGGUUCUGAAUGGAAGGGCCAUCGCUCAACGGAUAAAAGGUACUCCGGGGAUAACAGGCUGAUACCGCCCAAGAGUUCAUAUCGACGGCGGUGUUUGGCACCUCGAUGUCGGCUCAUCACAUCCUGGGGCUGAAGUAGGUCCCAAGGGUAUGGCUGUUCGCCAUUUAAAGUGGUACGCGAGCUGGGUUUAGAACGUCGUGAGACAGUUCGGUCCCUAUCUGCCGUGGGCGCUGGAAGAUUGAGGGGGGCUGCUCCUAGUACGAGAGGACCGGAGUGGACGCAUCACUGGUGUUCGGGUUGUCAUGCCAAUGGCACUGCCCGGUAGCUACAUGCGGAAGAGAUAAGUGCUGAAAGCAUCUAAGCACGAAACUUGCCCCGAGAUGAAUCUUCCCUGAGCCUUUAAGGCUCCUGAAGGAACGUUGAAGACGACGACGUUGAUAGGCCGGGUGUGUAAGCGCAGCGAUGCGUUGAGCUAACCGGUACUAAUGAACCGUGAGGCUUAACCUUACAAC